UACGGGGGGGGCAAGCGUUGUUCGGAAUUACUGGGCGUAAAGGGCGCGUAGGCGGCCAACUAAGUCAGACGUGAAAUCCCUCGGCUUAACCGGGGAACUGCGUCUGAUACUGGAUGGCUUGAGUUCGGGAGAGGGAUGCGGAAUUCCAGGUGUAGCGGUGAAAUGCGUAGAUAUCUGGAGGAACACCGGUGGCGAAGGCGGCAUCCUGGACCGACACUGACGCUGAGGAGCGAAAGCCAGGGGAGCGAACGGG
RNAcentral lists this ribosomal RNA (253 nucleotides) under uncultured bacterium. RNAcentral describes it as "partial 16S ribosomal RNA". It matches the Rfam family "Bacterial small subunit ribosomal RNA", at positions 524 to 776 of the family's 1533-position model. The record is from RNAcentral.